CUGUGAUAAACUGUGACUGAACUGGGGUUGUGGUUCAGUAGUAGAGCACUUGUCUAGCAUGGAUGAGGUGCUGGGUUCCAUUCCCAGCACUGCAAAGAAAAAAAGAAAUGAAAAUCUUCCUGGGUAUGGAAUUGGCCUCCAGCAUCCUCUCCUGUGAUACAAACUUAAUCCUUCCUGGUUGAUGAAGUUCCAGGGAGGGCUCAUGACAAUUGAGCUCCUUCUGGAGGACCUGUUUUUAGGCGGAUAAGGGAAGUCAAUGAAAGUCCCUGCCUGCAUUUACUAUUCCCCAAGUGUCCUCAAGUUUGGAGCAGCAUGCUGAGUUUGGAGCAGUCCACCUCACAAGAGAAUCAGAGGUGGGUAGUUCUGCUGCUUAUGCAGCUACCUCCAGGGCCAGGAAAGGUGCUUGGCCCUCUGCCCACAAAAGCAGGGACUAUAAGGAUUUACUCAUAUCCUACAGAAGUGCAUGGGAUGGUGGGAAAACCUGGCUCCCUUCCCAUCGUCCAGCUCCCAAGCAAGGAGAGACCCAGUUGACAGGGCACCUCUGGGAACCAGUGUUUUACUUAUUCAGAACUCAGUCCUACUCUACCUAGAAGGGGAGGGUUCAGGGCUCUAAGAGAGGGCUGGGGUAGAGAGUUGCACCCCUAAUUCCAAGGAGAGAUGAAGAUAUAAUUUAUGUGGGCAGGAAGCAACAACUGAAGAGCUAGGGAGAAGCUGCUGUGGGGAGCAUUUCAGUGGAGUUGAAUAAGAAUUUUGGGGUACAAAAAAGAUAGUCUGAGACUCAAAAAUGACAGGGCAGGUGAGCUGUUAGAAUGCAGGAAAAGCCCUGAGCCUUUGAAUUGCAAAAAUUUUCCUGUGCAAACUGGCCCGUGGCUCUUGCCCUUGGCCCAAGCCCUUGGUCCACACCCUUGACUCAUGUCCUUGCAUGCAAAAUAAUACAAGGACACUGCACAAGUGCUAGAAAAACCGUUGUGAAGUUAUGUAAUUCUGCCUUGACUCCACCUCUGUUUCAGCCUUAGUUACUGUCC
This 1025-nucleotide long non-coding RNA is filed under the name Marmota monax (woodchuck). Lineage: Eukaryota; Metazoa; Chordata; Mammalia; Rodentia; Sciuridae. The record is from RNAcentral.